This 492-nucleotide ribosomal RNA is filed under the name uncultured bacterium. Its description in RNAcentral is "partial 16S ribosomal RNA". It matches the Rfam family "Bacterial small subunit ribosomal RNA", at positions 29 to 507 of the family's 1533-position model. The record is from RNAcentral.
AGUGAACGCUGGCGGUAGGCCUAACACAUGCAAGUCGAACGGCAGCACAGUAAGAGCUUGCUCUUACGGGUGGCGAGUGGCGGACGGGUGAGGAAUACAUCGGAAUCUACUUUUUCGUGGGGGAUAACGUAGGGAAACUUACGCUAAUACCGCAUACGACCUACGUGUGAAAGCAGGGGAUCUUCGGACCUUGCGCGAUUGAAUGAGCCGAUGUCGGAUUAGCUAGUUGGCGGGGUAAAGGCCCACCAAGGCGACGAUCCGUAGCUGGUCUGAGAGGAUGAUCAGCCACACUGGAACUGAGACACGGUCCAGACUCCUACGGGAGGCAGCAGUGGGGAAUAUUGGACAAUGGGCGCAAGCCUGAUCCAGCCAUACCGCGUGGGUGAAGAAGGCCUUAGGGUUGUAAAGCCCUUUUGUUGGGAAAGAAAAGCAGCAGGUUAAUACCCCGCUGUUCUGACGGUACCCAAAGAAUAAGCACCGGCUAACUUCGUG